GACGGGGCCCGCACAAGCCGUGGAGCAUGUGGUUUAAUUCGAAGCAACGCGAAGAACCUUACCAGGCCUUGACAUGCAGAGAACUCUCCAGAGAUGGAUUGGUGCCUUCGGGAACUCUGACACAGGUGCUGCAUGGCUGUCGUCAGCUCGUGUCGUGAGAUGUUGGGUUAAGUCCCGUAACGAGCGCAACCCUUGUCCUUAGUUACCAGCACGUUAUGGUGGGCACUCUAAGGAGACUGCCGGUGACAAACCGGAGGAAGGUGGGGAUGACGCCAAGUCAUCAUGGCCCUUACGGCCUGGGCUACACACGUGCUACAAUGGUCGGUACAAAGGGUUGCCAAGCCGCGAGGUGGAGCUAAUCCCAUAAAACCGAUCGUAGUCCGGAUCGCAGUCUGCAACUCGACUGCGUGAAGUCGGAAUCGCUAGUAAUCGUGAAUCAGAAUGUCACGGUGAAUACGUUCCCGGGCCUU
RNAcentral lists this ribosomal RNA (470 nucleotides) under uncultured Pseudomonas sp. Its description in RNAcentral is "bacterial SSU rRNA". It matches the Rfam family "Bacterial small subunit ribosomal RNA", at positions 916 to 1381 of the family's 1533-position model. The record is from RNAcentral. Lineage: Bacteria; Pseudomonadati; Pseudomonadota; Gammaproteobacteria; Pseudomonadales; Pseudomonadaceae.